Molecule: unclassified non-coding RNA, 298 nt
Filed under: fungal sp.
Lineage: Eukaryota; Fungi
Description: partial internal transcribed spacer region
Source: RNAcentral
AGAGUUGGGCCAUGGCAGACCCGGCAGUGGAGGCAGGCCGUUUCAUCGCUGAGAUGCAUCCAUGGUGGUCAGAAGACGUCAUGAAGAAGCCCCCGAUGCCGUUGAAGUUAACUACGGCUUAUCUCGCGUUUCUCGUUCGCGGCGAGAAAUGGACACCGGAAAAGACUCCGCAGACUGAAGCAAUUCAAAAGGCGCACCUUGAAAACAUAAACCGGCUCGCAGAAAUGAAGAAGCUCGUCGUUGCCGGGCCAUUUGGGGACAACGGGAAACUACGCGGCAUCUUUGUAUUUCGCGCGGG